GGCUCUGUUUUUCUAAGACUUUGCCGCUAUAUUGGGAGUGCCGGUUCGCCGGCUAUGGAAAUAAAUGACCGUCGCAAUAAACCAUUCGGACCCGGGGGCGGUACCCGGCGCCUCCACCAAAACCCAUCCGUCGCGGUGGCUUUCGGCGGGGGCGAAAUAGGAUCGACGAGGGCGUAAAGGGCGUGUUUUUUCUCGGUAUGGUUCCGCCGACAUCGGGCCAAUGCAAUAGUUGCCAACGACAACUUUGCUCCGGUUGCUCAGGCUGCGUAACGCAGUUUGAAAGACCAUCUUAAAGUCCUAGCGGGUUAAGCUCCGCUAGGCGGGGUUCGGAGGCACCUGGCAACAGAAGCCUCCACU
This 357-nucleotide transfer-messenger RNA is filed under the name Bradyrhizobium elkanii. It matches the Rfam family "Alphaproteobacteria transfer-messenger RNA". Rfam says of the family: Bacterial tmRNA, also known as 10Sa RNA or SsrA, is named for its dual tRNA and mRNA-like properties. Its role is to liberate the mRNA from a stalled ribosome. The record is from RNAcentral. Lineage: Bacteria; Pseudomonadati; Pseudomonadota; Alphaproteobacteria; Hyphomicrobiales; Nitrobacteraceae.